Heterocephalus glaber (naked mole-rat) is the source of this 956-nucleotide long non-coding RNA. NCBI's taxonomy places the organism in Eukaryota, Metazoa, Chordata, Mammalia, Rodentia, Bathyergidae. The record is from Ensembl.
UGAAAGCCUGCCACCGCCCCGUUGACGCCACUAGGGAAGCGAGAGGACCUGGAACCCGGAUAGAGCGGGCGCCAUGUUAAGUGUGGGGGCCCAUGAUGAUUCUGAGUUUUACUCAUAGCUCCCGCCAGCCCUGCUGGCCUGUGGGGAAACUUUUCUAACUUUUGCAGGAAAGAACAAAUAUAUCUUUGAGCUAAUUUUUAAUUGAGCAGUUUCGUGUCACUUCCGCCCAAAACAAAAAUGUCCUCCGGUAGCCUCAAACCAGCGCUGUAGUAAAGGGGGCAGAGGAAAAGGAAGACGGCGAUUGGUGAGAACUCGGUGAGCGACGGCCCGCAUGCCGCACCCUCAUUGGCUGCGCUGCGUGAGCCCAAAUCGUGUGCCUCCAGAGCUGCAGCUGUCUGUCGGAGACCUUGAUUGGCGAGUGGAGCCCUUCGGUGAAAAGUGAAACUGGGGAUAUUAACUGAUUAUUUCUAGUGGUAAUGGCGCCUGCUUUAUUGGCUGUAACUAUCCGGCCAUAGGGGAGCACAGCUGUAAUACUAGCUACCUGGAGGGAGAGAAAGGACGAUCGCGAGUUCGAAGCCAGCCUGGGCGACUUCGAGUUUGCCUCCAAUUUUUAAAGAAGAGCUCAGCGACGAGGCGCUUGCCUAGCAUGCGCGAGGCUCUUCGGUUCAACCUCAGUAGCAGGAAAAAUAAUAAAAAGAAGAGAAAGAGACGGACCAUAGGCUCACACUUGUAAUUUCAGCCCUCUAGAAACUGAGGCAGAAGGAUUGCAGAUUCGACCCCAGCCUGGGCAAUUCAGAGGAGUAGACACGAUUCAUUCAACUGUGUCCAGAUGUGGCCGGGCCCCUGGGUGGACUCUCCUUAUCUUCCCAGCCCGGUGGUCCAGACUCUGCACUUCAUUUCCCCAAGAGAGAACAACUAAAGCAGAAGGAGAAGCUAAAAAGUUAACUCGGAACAGC